AUACGGAGGGUGCAAGCGUUAAUCGGAAUUACUGGGCGUAAAGCGUGCGUAGGUGGUUUGUUAAGUCAGAUGUGAAAGCCCCGGGCUCAACCUGGGAACUGCAUUUGAAACUGGCAUACUAGAGUAUAGGAGAGGAAAGUGGAAUUUCAGUUGUAGCGGUGAAAUGCGUAGAUAUCUGAAGGAACAUCAAUGGCGAAGGCAGCUUUCUGGACUAAUACUGACACUGAGGUACGAAAGCGUGGGUAGCAAACAGGAUUAGAAACCCUAGUAGUCC
RNAcentral lists this ribosomal RNA (274 nucleotides) under uncultured bacterium. RNAcentral describes it as "partial 16S ribosomal RNA". It matches the Rfam family "Bacterial small subunit ribosomal RNA", at positions 523 to 796 of the family's 1533-position model. The record is from RNAcentral.